Molecule: ribosomal RNA, 253 nt
Filed under: Parasutterella excrementihominis YIT 11859
Lineage: Bacteria; Pseudomonadati; Pseudomonadota; Betaproteobacteria; Burkholderiales; Sutterellaceae
Description: partial 16S ribosomal RNA
Rfam family: Bacterial small subunit ribosomal RNA
Source: RNAcentral
UACGUAGGGUGCGAGCGUUAAUCGGAAUUACUGGGCGUAAAGGGUGCGCAGGCGGUUGAGUAAGACAGAUGUGAAAUCCCCAAGCUUAACUCGGGAAUGGCAUAUGUGACUGCUCGACUAGAGUGUGUCAGAGGGAGGUGGAAUUCCACGUGUAGCAGUGAAAUGCGUAGAUAUGUGGAAGAACACCGAUGGCGAAGGCAGCCUCCUGGGACAUAACUGACGCUCAGGCACGAAAGCGUGGGGAGCAAACAGG